This 442-nucleotide ribosomal RNA is filed under the name uncultured bacterium. RNAcentral's name for it is "bacterial SSU rRNA". It matches the Rfam family "Bacterial small subunit ribosomal RNA", at positions 336 to 795 of the family's 1533-position model. The record is from RNAcentral.
CUCCUACGGGAGGCAGCAGUCGGGAAUUUUGGGCAAUGGGCGAAAGCCUGACCCAGCAACGCCGCGUGAAGGAUGAAGUUUUUCGGAAUGUAAACUUCGUAAGAAUAGGAAGAAUAAAUGACGGUACUAUUUGUAAGGUCCGGCUAACUACGUGCCAGCAGCCGCGGUAAUACGUAGGGACCAAGCGUUGUUCGGAUUUACUGGGCGUAAAGGGCGCGUAGGCGGCAAUUCAAGUCAGCUGUGAAAUCUCCGGGCUUAACUCGGAACGGUCAGCUGAUACUGUUUUGCUAGAGUGUAGAAGGGGCAAUCGGAAUUCUUGGUGUAGCGGUGAAAUGCGUAGAUAUCAAGAGGAACACCAGAGGUGAAGACGGGUUGCUGGGCUGACACUGACGCUGAGGCGCGAAAGCUAGGGUAGCAAACGGGAUUAGAUACCCCGGUAGUC